This 192-nucleotide unclassified non-coding RNA is filed under the name fungal sp. RNAcentral's name for it is "partial internal transcribed spacer region". The stretch from base 1 to 46 matches the Rfam family "Eukaryotic small subunit ribosomal RNA", at positions 1786 to 1831 of the family's 1831-position model. The record is from RNAcentral. Lineage: Eukaryota; Fungi.
AAGUCGUAACAAGGUUUCCGUAGGUGAACCUGCGGAAGGAUCAUUAACGAACGAGGAAUUCAAUUUACUUGAAUUUCCUUGGGAUCAACCAAAAACCUGUAUGAAAAUAUAUAUGUAUAUCGAUUAAUAGUCGAAAUACGCAAAUAAUUUUAAUAAAAUACAAAACUUUCAACAACGGAUCUCUUGGCUCUU